CCGACGGUGAGAGGUGAAAGCUGGGGGAGCAAACCGGAUUAGAUACCCGGGUAGUCCCAGCCGUAAACGAUGUGCGUUAGGUGUAUCGGUGACCACGAGUCACCGAGGUGCCGAAGAGAAAUCGUGAAACGUACCGCCUGGGAAGUACGGUCGCAAGGCUGAAACUUAAAGGAAUUGGCGGGGGAGCACCACAACAGGUGGAGCCUGCGGUUUAAUCGGACUCAACGCCGGGAAACUCACCAGAUAAGACAGCUGAAUGAUAGUCGGGCUGAAGACUCUACUUGACUAGCUGAGAGGAGGUGCAUGGCCGUCGUCAGUUCGUACUGCGAAGCAUCCUGUUAAGUC
This 345-nucleotide ribosomal RNA is filed under the name uncultured archaeon. RNAcentral's name for it is "bacterial SSU rRNA". It matches the Rfam family "Archaeal small subunit ribosomal RNA", at positions 691 to 1035 of the family's 1478-position model. The record is from RNAcentral.